UUAUAAUAAUUUUUAUUUGAUAAUUUAUGUUAUUUGAACGAAUAAUUAGGUUCAAGUGGUAUAUUCUUAAAGUUAAGUGGUUUUAAAAAAGGAGGUAUUGAUACAUUGUUUCUAUAAACUGAACCCGUAAAUAUUUUAUUAAAUAUUUCCGGAGUGUUAUGAGGGUCAUAUUAAAAAUUUGGUUAAGACAUUUUAACGUUUAAAUAUUAAUUAAAUGAAAAG
This 222-nucleotide long non-coding RNA is filed under the name Gossypium barbadense (sea-island cotton). Its description in RNAcentral is "long non-coding RNA (GBAR_LNC005068)". The record is from RNAcentral. Lineage: Eukaryota; Viridiplantae; Streptophyta; Magnoliopsida; Malvales; Malvaceae.